AAAAUCUAUAGAUCAAAUAAAUAUUGGAAGUGUAAAGAUGUCAAACUCAGCAAGGCCCAAGAACUUGAAACCACAAGGAUUUAUGCUGGAAGUCGUUGUCCAAAAUGUCAAGGUGAGACAAUGGAUUAUACCUUGAAUCCUGGAGAGGAAAAAGCCUCUGAGUUGUACUAUAAGAUAUAAGAUAUCAUGACAGGACACCUAUCCUUUGGAAGCUUGUCCAAUUAUACUCCUUGGACGAGCUAUAUUUUAAGGAGGGGUGGUUUUGUAACAUCCCGAAAUGUCAUUCCAAUUUGAACAUUGCCCCUAGCCCUGUGAGAACUCUAUUGGAAGCUCUAAGCCUAAGUAAUUGUUCCCUUGUGAGAUCCAUGGUUUGGUGCCUUGAGCAUGUAUAAUUGCUAUGAUUUUGCUAGCUCAUAUCUAAUAUUAGCUAGCUAAUAGUUAGCUAAUAGUUAGCUAGCUAAUAUUAUAUAUGAAAAGGUAGCUAAUAGUUAGCUAGCUAAUAUUAUAUAUGAGCUAUUAGCUAGCUAACUAUGAGCAGAUAAUAAAUCCAAGAAGGACUUUAAUUAUCUUACUGUUCAUAACUGUACAACAUGCAGUAAUUUGGCCACAGAUGCUCUGGUACAAGUCUCCAAAUGCAUCAACGAUUAUUUUAUGUAUAUAUGAAUCACUUGCCUACAUCAACAAGAAAAUAAUAAAAAACUUCAGAUUUCACCAUCUGAAAUAUUGGUCAUUAGUUGCCUACUAGUCAUGAGACUAAUGAUUGUCAAUCAAGAAUAUAACAGAUUCUGCGACGGCAAGGAAAUGACGCCUCUACUUAUGAAGUAUAUGAUCUUCAUCCAUGACACAUCUUGGCUGCAUAGGAUCUUGUCAGACGAAGCAUUUUUGUUAUCCUACCCAAUAUUUUCGGCAGAAUCUCCUUUGUAUCUUAGCCUUAUCUCCCGAUCACAGCAAGGAUAGAUAAAAGGGUUACAAGCAUUACUUACAUCGGAGAAAUUAAGCAGAUACCAUACCAAGCACACCCGAUAGUUUUGGAUGACCAAACCAGAUAGUGACAAGUUUAAAGUACCAACACUCCACUUCAAUGGAUGGACAGCACACAGACCAGAAAGUUAACCUCAGUACUCAACCAACUAAAACCAUACAGUACAGUCAUGAAGACGACCAACAUAAAGUUUAAUUUGAAGCAGAACAGACAACGCAUGAUGCCAUCUCUGCUCCCAAAGACCAACCACGUCUGCAAGGAUGUAGCUAGAGCUUUCAACCCUUAAAACCACGACGAUGCGAAGCACCUCUGUCUCGACGAGCGACACGAGCUGAAGGUCCAGACGAAGAAGUACCUGAGAACAGCAACACGAACGGUAAAUACAUGGGUAUUGAACCCUAAACUGGGAAUGGAAUUAUAAACCACAAGUAUAGGACAUAACCUGCAGCACGAUGAGAACUGGAAGCAAAAGAAGGACCCCGAUACGCCUCAGGUGAAGGUGGGACGACCUCGAGCGGCACCGGACUAUCAGGAGGAACUACUUCCAACGGGAUAGGCUCUGCAUAGAUUGAACCAGGAUAAGUUACAACACUAGUAACUGUAGCAAGUAAACCCAGAAGAAAAUUUGCAUAUACCUGGAGAAUGUGGCCCUGGAACCCUACAAGACAUCGGCGAUGGCUUCCUCUCUAAGUACUCCCACUGGUCAAAGAAUGGUCGAUAGAAUUCAUGACUAAUAUCAGACACACCUCUGAAGUCACCAACGGUACGAAGCACCAAAGCCAUGAUGUACGGCUGAAACGCUAGAGGUGAGUGCACAUCCCGCUUGCACUCCAGCAUUUGGUUCACCGUCCAGUCCAACAGGUUAAACUUCUCCCCGGACAUCACAGCAGUUAUCAUCUCAUAGAAGGGCCAACCAAUGGCCUUAUCAUUAGCUCCCGCAGAAGGCACGAUUGUACGCCUCAGAAUCUCGUAAAUUAGCUUCGGAAUCCUCCUCAAGCCUCCUUGUGGACCAUACACGGAUGUCUCCUGGUAAUAGAAACCUUGGACAUCACCUGACUGCAACCUUGGAAAGUCAACAACCAACUUGCCUUGCUUCAUCUCCUGGUAGUUUAAACCAACAGCAGCUGCAAGAUCCUUGAAUGUGGCCUUGAACUUUCUGGUGCCGGUCAUCCAAACCAGCUCCUCCUUCUGAGCCCUAACCUCCAGAGUGGCAUAGAACUGCCGGAUCACUGCUUCAUUCCAAUCCUGCUUAAGGCCAAGCGCAUUCCUCCAACCGACUCCUUCGAACAUGUCAACCAAGCUCCUCGCGUGCACGAAUCUUUCCAAAUAGCUCCAGCUCACCCAUUGUUGAUCAAGAUGCAUUGGCCUUAUAUCCAAGCCUCCUCGGAAUAGCUUGAACUGAGAGUGAGUGUGGAAAUAGGAUGAUGGAGAAUCUCUUGCUUGCUCAAAGUGCCUAGAUAGGCAAACCUUACUGAACUCCUCCGGCACCCAAUGGUAACGAACAGCUGGAACUGCCGACAUGUCCAUCGGCUGUGUUCCUUCAUCAUCAUCUCCGAAAGAAUCAGCCCUUGGUCUCUUCUCCUCCCGACGAUUGGAACCUGCACCAAACCUGCAAUGCAAGAAGAAAGAUCAAUAGAUACUGGACUUGGAUAAAACGAGACCUGUAAUAGAAACUUUAAGCAACUAUAAGUGCAAUAAUUCAAAUGAUGCGACAAUGUGAUCUACAACAUGUAUACAGAGUAUAUAUAUAUAAAUGAAGUAUACAAGAGGUACUUGUAUGGUUUGGAUAACAAAUAAAACAGGUUGGAAUGAAAUAAUCAGCAAGGAACAGACACUGACGGAAUAUUCGCCAAGGUCCGCGGACCGGCUGUCGAGUCUGUACAUUGCAGUGAUAAAUCAGACCGAGAGCAAAUACCAGUCCUGGAACAUUUAACCAGAGGUAACAGAACGUUCCGCCAACAGAGAUCAUCCAACCAGAAGAGAAUCAACCACUACAAACUAGUUUUGCGGAGUGUCUGCGAAUUUUCGCAGACCGUCCGCUAAAGCUACAGGUAGUGUCAGUGAGUAAACUGAACUUUUUUGAGUAACUACGAAACCAGCAGAAUAUUCCACCAGGAUCUAACAGACCAUCCGUCAACCGUCGAAGAUAGAAAAAUUAGAACAGUAUCCGCAAGAACUUGGAUCUCUCAUAUCUUCAACAUCAAGCAGUUUGAUCUCACCAAAAAAUGCACAAAGGUAUCCAUAGACAUUCUCUACCAAAUCCCUAAGAAGGUUUACCCGUAACUCUAACCAAUCAAGAGAUCAAGACAACCCUAGAUUUGGCUGAAAAAGGGAAUAAAACAAAAAGAAGCAAAGGAAUUUGAUGCAUACCUUCCCCUCAUGAUUGAAGAGGCGCGUGGAAGCAUCUAGACCACGGGAAUCCACCGAAGCAAGGGCGCAGGCGCGGCAGUGGGGGCGAUGGCCUCGACAGAAAUAAUAGAAAAAGAAGAACCCCAUAAGUCACUGUCAGCCUAUUUAUAGAUCGUGGAGUCCAUUAGCUGCGGUGGACCGUCAGUCAAUAUGGAUAACUGACUCAAAGUUGACUGUCAAUCUUUCAGUACCACUGUCCAAUGAUUGGACUGGACCGUCCAUGAGUUGGCAGAAGAUGCCUCAUGACCGCGUUUUCUAUCAAGACAAAUACAGAGAUCUCAAGACAUCAAUGAUGCACGAAGAGCACCUCGUACCUUUCUCAACAGAGCGUGUUUAUCAAGUUCAUCUAACAGAAUAUUGAUCAAUUUUCCCCAAAAACUAUAUAGAUCAAAUAAAUAUUGGAAGUGUAAAGAUGUUGAACUCAGCAAGGCCCAAGAACUUGAAACCACAAGGACUUAUGCUGGAAGUCGUCCGAAAUGUCAAGGUGAGACAAUGGAUUAUACCUUGAAUCCUGGAGAGGAAAAAGUCUCUGAGUCGUACUAUAAGAUAUAAGAUAUCACAACAAGACACCUAUCCUUUGGAAGCUUGUCCAAUUAUACUCCUUCAACGAGCUCUAUUUUAAGGAGGGGGGGUUUUGUAACGUCCCGAAAUGUCAUUCCAAUUCGAACAUUGCCCCUAGCCCUGUGAGAACUCUAUUGGAAGCUCUAAGCCUAAGUAGUUGUUCCCUUGUGAGAUCCAUGGUACGGUGCCUUGAGCAUGUAUAAUUGCUAUGAUUUUGCUAGCUCGUAUCUAAUAUUAGCUAGCUAACUAUUAGCUACCUAUUAGCUGGAGGGUGUUUAGAUGCACAGCUAACAAAAAAUGCUACUAAGGUAACUAGCUAUUAGCUGCUAUUAUCUUAUUUAUUUAGUCCAACUAAUCAGAUAAUUAUUAUUUAGAGGUCUAGCUAACAAUUAGCUAUUUUAUUAGCUGCUCCAGUUUGGAUCCAAAAGAGAUAACUAUUAACAAUAUAGCUAUCAUCAUGGCCUUAAUUACCUGACUAUUUAGAACUGUACAACAUGCAGUAAUUUGGCCAUACAGAUGCUGGUACAAGUCUCCAAAUGCAUCAACGAUUAUUUUAUGAAUAUAUGAAAACAGAAUAGCAAUGCAGCAGUGCUUCUCUCAUGGGAUCAUCACUUGCCUACAUCAACAAGAAAAUAAUAAUAAACUUCAGACUUCA
RNAcentral lists this long non-coding RNA (4607 nucleotides) under Sorghum bicolor (sorghum). Its description in RNAcentral is "long non-coding RNA (SBIC_LNC002063)". The record is from RNAcentral. Lineage: Eukaryota; Viridiplantae; Streptophyta; Magnoliopsida; Poales; Poaceae.